AGCAGAGCACUCCUACGGGAGGCAGCAGUGGGGAAUAUUGCACAAUGGGCGCAAGCCUGAUGCAGCCAUGCCGCGUGUAUGAAGAAGGCCUUCGGGUUGUAAAGUACUUUCAGCAGUGAGGAAGGCGGGUACGUUAAUAGCGUGCUCGUUUGACGUUAGCUGCAGAAGAAGCACCGGCUAACUCCGUGCCAGCAGCCGCGGUAAUACGGGGGUGCAAGCGUUAAUCGGAGUUAUUGGGCGUAAAGGGUGCGUAGGUUGUUAUUUAAGUCAUGUGGGAAAUACCUGGGCUCAACCUGGGAAUGACGGAUGAUACUGAAUGACUAGAGUAUAGUAGAGGGUAGUGGAAUUUCCGGUGUAGCGGUGAAAUGCGUAGAGAUCGGAAGGAACACCAGUGGCGAAGGCGGCUACCUGGACUAAUACUGACACUGAGGCACGAAAGCGUGGGUAGCAAACAGGAUUAGAUACCCUGGUAG
Molecule: ribosomal RNA, 473 nt
Filed under: uncultured bacterium
Lineage: Bacteria
Description: bacterial SSU rRNA
Rfam family: Bacterial small subunit ribosomal RNA
Source: RNAcentral